This 253-nucleotide ribosomal RNA is filed under the name uncultured bacterium. Its description in RNAcentral is "partial 16S ribosomal RNA". It matches the Rfam family "Bacterial small subunit ribosomal RNA", at positions 524 to 776 of the family's 1533-position model. The record is from RNAcentral.
UACGUAGGGUGCAAGCGUUAAUCGGAAUUACUGGGCGUAAAGCGUGCGCAGGCGGUUCGCUAAGACCGAUGUGAAAUCCCCGGGCUUAACCUGGGAACUGCAUUGGUGACUGGCGGGCUAGAGUAUGGCAGAGGGGGGUAGAAUUCCACGUGUAGCAGUGAAAUGCGUAGAGAUGUGGAGGAACACCGAUGGCGAAGGCAGCCCCCUGGGUCAACACUGACGCUCAUGCACGAAAGCGUGGGGAGCAAACAGG